AGGUGCCAAUGCACCUUGGAUUACCCUUCAGUUUCUUGAUCCUCCUCUCUCACAAAGACUACCCAUGACUGCACCACCACAUACGGUGGUUCCCGGCGAUGUUGAGGUUGGAAGAAAUGAUAAUUUUGAUGAUGCAGCUACCGUGUUUGAUCAGGAUAUGGCUGAUAUUGACAGACCAGGGCCGCCUCCUGCGCCAGAUUCAGCUAUUGAGAUACUGCCAAUAGUGAUGAUAACACAGGAGCAUUUGAUAAAGGACACGCAUUGUCCUGUGUGUAAGGAUGAAUUUGAGGUUGGUGCGGAGGCGAGGGAGCUUCCCUGCAAGCAUUUAUACCAUUCUGAUUGCAUUAUUCCAUGGUUGAAUAUACACAAUUCCUGCCCAGUUUGCCGGAGCGCGGUGCAUGAUGGUUUUGAGGAUCAUCUCCAGCAAGAAAAUGGU
RNAcentral lists this unclassified non-coding RNA (436 nucleotides) under Hevea brasiliensis (rubber tree). Lineage: Eukaryota; Viridiplantae; Streptophyta; Magnoliopsida; Malpighiales; Euphorbiaceae. The record is from RNAcentral.